CAUCGUAUCAUGUGAUUUGAGUUUCCACCCCAUCUUUAUAGUAAGUGAUUUUUGCAAUUCUGUUAAAAGGUUAUUUAAGAAAAUUGUCUAACGACACUAGGCUAUUGAUGUGGCUACAUUGUACAGUCUCCCACACCUCCCACCCCAUUACGUUUGUAUAAAGUGACCUGGGAUGAAGUGUUGGGAAUGUUGGUUUGUUAUUUGUGCUGAGAUUUUAUAAUUGUAUAUAAAUGGAAGACCAGGUGCCAGGAUUUAUUUUCUGGUUUGACAUGCAUUACUUUGUGAAGAAAUUGAUUAGUUAGCCAGGUGUCACUUCUGUCAGACCAAAGAUGCCUUCUCUGUUGCAUUUGAUUUUUAGAGACAGUGAGAAGCUUGUUAUUUCCGUUUCCCAUUCUACUUUCAGGAUGCGAAGGUCAUGUCCUGGUGGGAUUAUGGCUAUCAGAUUACAGCUAUGGCAAACCGAACAAUUUUAGUGGACAAUAACACAUGGAAUAAUACCCAUAUUUCUCGAGUAGGGCAGGCAAUGGCGUCCACAGAGGAAAAAGCCUAUGAGAUCAUGAGGGAGCUCGAUGUCAGCUAUGUGCUGGUCAUUUUUGGAGGCCUCACUGGGUAUUCCUCUGAUGAUAUCAACAAGUUUCUUUGGAUGGUCCGGAUUGGAGGGAGCACAGAUACAGGCAAACAUAUCAAGGAGAAUGACUAUUAUACUCCAACUGGGGAGUUCCGUGUGGACCGUGAAGGUUCUCCAGUGCUGCUCAACUGCCUCAUGUACAAGAUGUGUUACUAUCGCUUUGGACAGGUUUACACAGAAGCCAAGCGUCCUCCAGGCUUUGACCGUGUCCGAAAUGCUGAGAUUGGGAAUAAAGACUUUGAGCUUGAUGUCCUGGAGGAAGCAUAUACCACAGAACAUUGGCUGGUCAGGAUAUACAAGGUAAAGGACCUGGAUAAUCGAGGCUUGUCAAGGACAUAAAUGUCACGUCCAGCUCUGAUAUGCUUCGCACUGAGCACAUCACAUUUAGGACGUUGAAGAUUUUUUUUUUUUUUUUUUUUUUAAUAUGCAGUUUGUAAGAACAAAACUGGAUGGCAUCAGAAUUGUCUGGAAGUUUUGUCUUGGGCAGUAUGGGCUGGGCCAAAUGAAAUGAUUUUUAUAAUUCUAAACAGGUUACCAAAUGAAAUGUCAUGGCUUUACUUUGGUCAAUUAAAGGGGGGAAUUUUUUUUUUAAAUGUGCCUUAUUUGUUUUGACUUAUAACUGAUUUGAGGGAGGCAAAAGCUAUGCUAGGCUGCCAGAAGGACAUAAGCAGACCUUGUCCAUUCUCUUAGCUCCCUAAAUUAGCCAAAUAGAGACUUCUUUCUCAAAUCAGGAAAACUAUCAAAGACCAAUUCAGA
Molecule: small RNA, 1384 nt
Filed under: Pan troglodytes (chimpanzee)
Lineage: Eukaryota; Metazoa; Chordata; Mammalia; Primates; Hominidae
Description: retained intron
Source: RNAcentral